AAUGAACGCUGGCGGCAGGCCUAACACAUGCAAGUCGAACGGAGUUAUAUUGUAGCUUGCUAUGGUAUAACUUAGUGGCAGACGGGUGAGUAAUGUAUAGGAAUCUACCUAGUAGUAUGGAAUAAUUGUUGGAAACGGCAACUAAUACCGUAUACGCCCUACGGGGGAAAAAUUUAUUCCUAUUAGAUGAGCCUAUAUUAGAUUAGCUAGUUGGUGGAGUAACAGCCUACCAAGGCAAUGAUCUAUAGCUGAUCUGAGAGGAUGAUCAGCCACACUGGAACUGAGAUACGGUCCAGACUCUUAUCUACG
Molecule: ribosomal RNA, 309 nt
Filed under: uncultured bacterium
Lineage: Bacteria
Description: bacterial SSU rRNA
Rfam family: Bacterial small subunit ribosomal RNA
Source: RNAcentral